This 87-nucleotide transfer RNA is filed under the name Agaribacter marinus. RNAcentral's name for it is "tRNA-Leu". It matches the Rfam family "tRNA". From Rfam's summary of the family: Transfer RNA (tRNA) molecules are approximately 80 nucleotides in length. The record is from RNAcentral. RNAcentral also lists the same sequence under 1 other name. Lineage: Bacteria; Pseudomonadati; Pseudomonadota; Gammaproteobacteria; Alteromonadales; Alteromonadaceae.
GCCAGAGUGGCGGAAUUGGUAGACGCAGUGGAUUCAAAAUCCACCGCCCGCAAGGGUGUGCCGGUUCAAGUCCGGCCUCUGGUACCA